AAGAUAGCAAGGAAAUGAGAUU
Molecule: microRNA, 22 nt
Filed under: Callithrix jacchus (white-tufted-ear marmoset)
Lineage: Eukaryota; Metazoa; Chordata; Mammalia; Primates; Cebidae
Description: cja-miR-9918
Source: miRBase by way of RNAcentral